RNAcentral lists this ribosomal RNA (497 nucleotides) under uncultured bacterium. Its description in RNAcentral is "partial 16S ribosomal RNA". It matches the Rfam family "Bacterial small subunit ribosomal RNA", at positions 28 to 507 of the family's 1533-position model. The record is from RNAcentral.
GACGAACGCUGGCGGCGUGCCUAAUACAUGCAAGUAGAACGCUGAAGAGAGGAGCUUGCUCUUCUUGGAUGAGUCGCGAACGGGUGAGUAACGCGUAGGUAACCUGCCUUGUAGCGGGGGAUAACUAUUGGAAACGAUAGCUAAUACCGCAUAACAAUGGAUGACACAUGUCGUUUAUUUGAAAGGGGCAAUUGCUCCACUACAAGAUGGACCUUCGUCGUAUUAGCUAGUAGGUGAGGUAAUGGCUCACCUAGGCGACGUUACAUAGCCGACCUGAGAGGGUGGGUGGCCACACUGGGACUGAGACAGGGCCCAGACGCCUACAGGAGGCAGCAGUAGGGAAUCUGCGGCAAUGGGGGCAACACUGACCGAGCAACGCCGCGUGAGGGAAGAAGGUUUUCGGAUCGUAAAGCUCGGUUGUAAGUCAAGAACGGGUGUGAGAGUGGAAAGUUCACAGUGUGACGGUAGCUUACCAGAAAGCGACGGCUAACUACGUG